This is a non-coding RNA of Pelobates cultripes (western spadefoot toad), 419 nucleotides long. NCBI's taxonomy places the organism in Eukaryota, Metazoa, Chordata, Amphibia, Anura, Pelobatidae. The record is from the annotation of a GenBank genome assembly.
CUUUGCCACAGUUGUCAUUCACUGGCCUGAAUGGUCGGAUAAUCAAAAGUGGGAGUAUAUAUAGAGUAAACAAGAUCCAGCUCACUCACUCAUUCACUAAACAGCUAUUUCAAAGCUCACAGAACGUAAUAGUUUUAUUUUAAAACACCACACCUAGGCAAAAAAUAAUGGGGGUUUAGAUACAGUAUAUGAUCACACAUUGCAUAAGCCUGCCGCAACAUAAAGAGAUUAACCCACUAACUAGGGAAAUUCUUCCUCUUGGGACUCUCUGCAGGGCAAAAAAACGAUUACAUUCCGUGAGCUUUGAAGUUGCUGUUUAGUGAAUAAGUGAGUGAGUUGAAUCGUGUAUGUUGUUUGAAUUGGCCCCAGCAGCACCCCUUAUAAUGUAUGCAUGUUCAGGUGAGUGCAGCCCUCUUGUU